Molecule: ribosomal RNA, 411 nt
Filed under: uncultured bacterium
Lineage: Bacteria
Description: bacterial SSU rRNA
Rfam family: Bacterial small subunit ribosomal RNA
Source: RNAcentral
CAGCAAUGCCGCGUGUGUGAAGAAGGCCUUCGGGUUGUAAAGCACUUUAGCCUGGAAAGAAAACGCUUUGGCUAACACCCAAAGUCUUGACGGUACCAGGAGAAUAAGCACCGGCUAACUCUGUGCCAGCAGCCGCGGUAAUACAGAGGGUGCAAGCGUUAAUCGGAUUUACUGGGCGUAAAGCGUGUGUAGGUGGUGAUUUAAGUCGGAUGUGAAAGCCCCGGGCUCAACCUGGGAACUGCAUUCGAUACUGGAUUGCUAGAGUACGGUAGAGGGAGGCGGAACUCCGGGUGUAGCGGUGAAAUGCGUAGAUAUCCGGAAGAACACCGAUGGCGAAGGCAACCUCCUGGGCCUGUACUGACACUGAGACACGAAAGCGUGGGGAGCAAACAGGAUUAGAUACCCUGGUAA